Molecule: long non-coding RNA, 27242 nt
Filed under: Capsicum annuum
Lineage: Eukaryota; Viridiplantae; Streptophyta; Magnoliopsida; Solanales; Solanaceae
Description: long non-coding RNA (CANN_LNC019367)
Source: RNAcentral
CAUCAACACCCUCAACUUAAGACAAUUGUUGUUCCUCAAGUAACUUAGCACCAAAUUGCAUACAUGAAUAAUACAAUGACAGGCAAUCAACUGUUGAACUAGAUUUCACACAACCAUUCACUUGCCAUCUCAUUCUUAAGAGCUCAACACAUCAGGAUCUACAACCGAUAUUAUUUAUAAUUCAACACACACACAAACAUGGAUAUGGUAUCCUAUAGAGAUCAGCAAAACUAGGUGUAACUCAAGUUGUCCUCACAGCCAAUGAAGUCCACCACUCAUUAUAUCUUGUGGACAAAAGUCCAGACUCUCACACUCAUCAAAGAAGUUACAAACAUAUGCUGCUUGUUUCACAUCUUUCAUCUCAAGGAUAAUUCUUAUUACCACUUUAACAACUAAAUUCAACCUCUUACUAGAAAUUCACUAGCACACAAUGCACCCAUCCACUUAUAUACCAUCCUGACAUUCAAGUCUAUCAUUAUACCUAGGGGUGGGCGUGGUACGGUAUAGUAUUUUAAAUUUUAGUACGGUAACUUCGGUUUUUGGUAUUUAAAAGAAUAAUACCAUUACCAUACCAAAUUAAUUUGGUAUGGUUUGAUAUUUUUAAAUUUGGUUUCGGUAUUUUACGGUAUGGUAAUUCGGUAACCAUACUUUAUUUGAUUUUGACUUACAUAUAUUCAUAUAAAAACUAUAACUUUAAACUUUAAAAACAUCUCAAACAUAUCAUACCAAUAACUAUUAUUUGUUAAUUAAUAACACAAAUAGAACAUUUUAAUAAUUAUUGAGUAGUCCAAGAUGCAAACUCUGAACAACAUUACCUAAACUUAAGCAUAGUACUCCUAAAUAAUAAGCUUCCAAAAAAUUUAUUUCUGAAUAAAAGUUACUUUUAUGUUCAAUUGGCUAAUGGAUGAUAUAUAAAUAUAUUUAAUAAUCUUAAAUAUAAUAUAUGAGUUUUAUAUAUUAUUAAAAAACUUCGGUGCGGUAUAAGUAUUUCGAUAUUUAUUGCAUAAAUAUCAAAUACCGUACCAAAUACCAUAAUAAUUUAAAAAUCCUACCAUAUACCAUACCAAAUACCAUAACAUCUAUACCGCGGUAUAAAAAAUUUCAAUUUUGGUAUGAUAUUCGGUAUAUACCAUACCAUGCCUACCCCUAAUUAUACCCACAUAUAAAUUUUUGGUCAAUCAACCUAUUUUGGAAUUUCACAAUAUUCUCUAACACCUCUUGUCAAUAACAACUUCCAAACACGAUCCCCAAGAAGAAACAUAUUGAUCGUAAUUUUUUUCGUCACCACUAAAAGGUUAGAACAUGAGUACUUGAAGCAUAAAAGAACACUAUGUAUAAAUUUAACACUUACUGAGGCCUGAGGAAUAGAAUACCAAAAACAUGAAUUCAUUUAAGAGAUCAAAACUAAGGACAUACAUAACAUAAUCUAAUUCCGUGGAUCAUUAAGAGUGAAGCAUAAGUAUAGGGAACUGAGUGUACUAUAAAGCAUGAGUACAUGAGUCAUGAGUUGCAUAACCUGAGUUUGGAGUUCAUAAAUUCAUAAAAUAUGAUUCGUACUGCUGAGUGAACUAGAACUCCUCAUACUAGGAAUUGGAAGCGUCAUGAUUUUUAUGGCAAAUGCAUGAAUAUGAGUUAUGAUCAUGGAGUUGACAUGUAAGGCAUGAGUAGAUGUCGUGAUGACUGAAAUACAACACUUUGUACCGAGAUAAAAAUGGGUCGGAUAUCUUCCUCCUCUACUGUUGUUCUACAAUAUAUAGGUAUCACUACCAAAAUCUGAGAGACUGACUUGGUUCCUUGUUCUAUCAUUUGACCCUUAGCUUUAAGCCAUCAUUCUAAGUCUAUGGACCCCUUUAAUAAACUCUAAAUUGAACUACAACCACUUUAAUCUAGAGUCCGAGAUAUAAUAAUACACAUAAGUAAUAUACUCAUCCUGAAAGACUACACCAGAAAGUGUAAAAACCGUUGCUAGUACUUCCUUCUAAGAUACAACUUUUAACGUUCUAUAGCCCUACUAGUCAUCUUAUUUACACCCUUCUGGAUAAUAUACUUUCCCCACUAAACAUAUAAUCUGUCUUUUUUUCUUCAUAUUCUACUAAUAUCAUAUCUCUAAACUUAUAUUUUUUUCCUAAACCAUGAGAAUUACCAUUACACCAGCAUACCCAACAUCAUCAACCUAUAACCCAUAACUUAGCUGAUAAGAACAUCAUAUACUAUAUAGCCUCAUACAUACUUAAUAACUCAAGGGUACUAUCUAAGCACACACAUCGUUAAAACUUAGAAAUAAUACAAUCCCAUAUCACCUUGGGUACACCUCUAGAUCAUACUUACAUCAUCAUACUUAAUUUUAAAUCAACAAACUUAAAUUCUUACAUACACUAUUUCGAGCCUACUGGUUCACUUUUCAGACAAUUAGCCCCAUGGAUACAAAAUCUACUAAAUCUAGAUAAACAUUAUCCUAUUUUACUGUUGUUAAACUUUUAGGUUCAUGUUUCUAACUCUAGAUCAUAUGCUAUCAUAGGAUUUUGAGAAGGGACACGAAAGCACAUCUAACUUUGGCUUAAUGCACAAUUUUUCAUAAUCAUGAAUGAAAUAUUUCAUACUUUAAGACAUAAUGGCAUUGAUGGAAUACUUUCGAGCCUGUGUGUAAUCCCAUAACUGUUUAUAGGGACUGCCUGAGAAAACUCUAUCUAUAAGGAUUUAAGCUUGGCUAUUUCUGUUGGCUUGAAAAUAAGGCAGAGUUGGAAUGAAUGAAGAAAGGUGAGAAUCUAUAUAAGUUUUCUUAGAGAAUAUUUCUACAGCACGAUCUGAGAUAUGAAAGAAGGGAAACAUUUCUUAAAUACUCUAUACCCUCUCGAAGAAAAAUACAGAUGUCUCCAUACUAUUUUGUAAGACUCUACUAGACACGGCUUCAUAGACAUCCUAGGACACUUAAACCUUGUGCUCUGAUACCAAGUUUUUCACGACCCAAGACCACCUCUAGUCGUAACACGGUGCUUGGAACCACAAGUGAUCCCAAGCUAAUCCUUGAUCUGACAUACUACUUGAGCAACUAAUUUAAAUUGUAUAAAAACUAAAUUUACUGAGCGAAAAUAUAUUCAUAAGAAAGUCUGUGCAAUACUGAUAAACUUUACGACAUGAUAAAACUGAAGAAAGAAACUUGAAUUACAUGUAAUGACUCUGACUUACUAUCUAUGAAACCUCUACUAUACUAACUAUAAAUAGAUGUGACAUGCCUCCAACUACCACUAAUCAAUACGUAUGAAUAAUAACAAUAUAGUACAUGAACUACAACUGACUUGAGUCCCCAAAAUAAGAGAACUCUUCACCUGCUGGCUAGAAGCGGCAAACUGUUUGAUUAUGAUGUGUGGGCUACAACUGGUACCUACAUUAUGAGACAAUGUAUCACAUACACAUAUAUUUGGAUCAGUACUUUAGAAUAUAUUGAGUAUAUGGAGACAUGCACUAAAUCAUGAAAAUAUUUAAAGCAUGCUUUAAAACUAAGGAUAUAAGUUAUUUGCUGAAACAUACAUUUAAAACAUGGUUGUACGUGAAAAUGGUGAGUCAUAGUAAGAUUUAUAAAUCAUAAACAGAAAAUAAUUCUAUAAGUUGGGAAGCGGUAGAAAUAUAAAUACUGCAUGUAAGUCUUAUGUAAAGCUGAAUACACUGUAAAACUGAACUAAGGAUCAUGUAUGGAUACUGAGAAUGAAAAUAUGAACAUGUAAAACUGAAAAUGCAAAAACAAGUAUAGCAUGUGCUAACAUGAUCUGAAUAACAUAAAUAAUCUGUAAUGCUGGCUGAAUAAUUACUGAAAUCUGAUUACUUGGUCAAGCAAAAUUAAAUUAAGAUAAAAUAAAUGCUGACUGAAAAACUCUGGGAGCUAUCAUGUAACCGACAUCCCCUAAUCUGAGCAAAUAAAGGUUCAACCUGUAACCCUAGUUGAAAGGGUGUCAGUACCUUACCAUUGGUACUAACCCAUGGAUGUGGGGAUUCACUAAACUGAUGUCCUAAAGGAUUAGGGAGUUACCCUCUACUGGAAGAUGCCCCUAAAAGAGUGUCCACCCUUCACUGAUAGGAAGACUUCUCAUACCUAUGCUGGCUACGUAGUUCUGAAACUCAGAGACUGCUACUAAAGGUCACACCCUCUACUGGCAGGUGAGCCCCUAUCCCUGGGUUCACUUGGUGCUAAAUCCUACUCCCAACUGAAUGACACUUGUAUUAGUAUGGGUCUAACAUGAUGCGGUAAUGUACUGAUAAGUGCUUAACAUGAACAUGGUAGUCUGAAUAAAGUAAUAAAACAUGGUUGUCUGAUUUGUCACUUGAAAAUGAAAACAUAUAAAAACACAUUGGUAUCAGGUGUUUAUAACCCAUCACUACUAAAUAAUUACUAAAAUACAAUAACAACACUUGGAACACUGGUAGAAAGUAGUAAUUUAGAGACCCAAAACAUAUUUCAUUACAAUACAUAAAGGAGACACAUGAAUCUGAACAUAGGAAUGACAUAAACUUGGAAGGAUAACAAUUUUACAUGGUUCAAUUCAUAACUUAAUGAUUUAACAUGAAAUCAAUAGAGUAUGACAUGGGAAAUUUAAAUUAAAAGCAUGAAAUAACUUAAUUCACAUUGAGACACAUAGUGACAUAGCUCGAAUUCAAAUUACUAAGAAAAUACAUGGAUUAAAUUCAUUAUUAACAUGGAUAAUUUCAUAAAAGAAUGAGAAUUUCAUACUUUAAUAAAAAGGGGAUUUUUGGGACUCAAUGGGUGAAAGGAACUCAUUGAUGAAUACCUCACAUACCUUAAAGUUCUUGGCUUGGUGAAGUAAACUUGACCUUUUAGACUUGGGAGAUGAUCUUAAGAAAAAACCCUAAUCUUGUUCUUGAGAAUGAAAAUAGGGAUUUUGUAUUGUUUAAUUGAUGGAAAAGAGAGGAAUAAUAUCACCCCUUGGGGUUAAAUGUCUUGGGUUGGGAGUUAUAAAGAGAGGAAAGACCAAAAUAACCCUUAGAAACCUUCUGGGAGUCAUUUGGAAACCCCGACGUGUUUGGGUAUGGGUCAUACCUUGAGUCAUCACCAGGAGCCUGUUGUGGGUACGACUCCUCAUGAUGACUCAUAUGGUCUGCUUGUGAGUCAUCAUCAAUAAGUCAUAUCCAUUGGCAGCAUUGACAAUGCUUUAGUAAUUUGGCCAUAACUUUUCACCCCGAUAUCGUAUUAAGGAAAAAUCAAUAUCGUUGGAAAGAUAAUUUAAUUAUAUAUUUGUUGGUGGGUCUUGAGAUUAGAAAUUCUAAUUAGAGUAGAAGUUAUGCUCAUUUGAAGAUGAUUAUAGUUAUAUACAUCCCAAGAACUUAAUCGCUAAGAAAUGUUUUGACUUGUCUAUAAGCUAGAAGCUAUUUAGGACUUAAUAUAUGCUCAAGUAAAUUAUAAAUCUAUCAAAAAAUGAGGCUUGAUUCUUGGACCGUUUACUAGUCAAGAUAUGGGUCAUAUCUUAUGACUCAUAACAAACAUUACGACUUAUAGCCACCAUUUGUAAUUUGGACAGAAACUUAGGGAACCUACACUGCUGACAAUACAACUUAUCUUCAUACGACUCGUACCUUACUUGAAGACUUCUAGGGUCAACUCAUAAUUUGAAUAGAACUCAAAUUAUCCCACACUAACAUGGGUAUGACUUGCUACAUAUGAUUCAUAUCUAACGUGUAUAACUCAAUGGACUAAGUAGUAUGAUGUACAUAAGCUUUCAAACAUGGGGUAUUACAGUUUACCUUAGCCUUUCGUAUCUUGGGAUUUGGAUGUUAUCGGACCAAUAGAGCCACCAGAGUCAAAUAAGCAUUGAUUUAUUUUUGUUGUAAUUGAUUACUUCACCAAGUGGGUGAAAGAUGCCUCUUAUAGAGUGUGACCAAGAAGGUAGUUGUAGAUUUUGUCAAGAAUAACCUAAUUUGUCAAUUUAGAGUAUCACAAUUAAUCAUUACUGAUUAUUCAAUUAUAUAUCUGUUGGUGGGUCUUGAGAUCAAAACUUCUUAGUAGAAUAAAAGUUAUGCUCAUUUGAAGAUGACGAUAGUUAUGUACAUCCCAAGAAUUUAAUCGCUAAGGAAUGUUUUGACUUGUCUAUAAGCUAGAAGCUAUUUGAGGACUUAAUAUAUGCUCAAGUAAAUUAUAAAGCUAUCAAAAAAUGAGGCUUGAUUCUUGGACCAUUUACUAGUCAGGAUACGGGUCAUAUCUUACGACUCGUAAUAAGUCAUUACGACUUGUAGCCACUACUUGUAACUUGGACAGAAACUUAGGGGAUCUACACUACUGACAAUACGACUUAUCUUUAUAGGACUCAUACCUUACUUAAAGACUUCUAGUGUCAACUCAUAACUUGAAUAGAACUCAAAUUAUCCCACACUGGCACUGGUACGAGUUGUUACAUAUGACUCAUAUCUAAUGUGUACGACUCAAUGAACUAAGUCGUAUGAUGUAUAGAAGCUUUCAAACAUGGGGUAUUAAGUUCACCUUGGCCUUUCGUAUCUUGGGAUAUGGAUGAUAUCGAACCAAUAGAGCUACCAGCAUCAAAUGGGCAUUGAUUCAUUUUUGUUGCAAUUGAUUAAUUCACCAAGUGGGUGAAAGAUGCCUCUUAUAAAGCCGUGACCAAGAAGGUACUUGCAGAUUUUGUCAAGAAUAACCUGAUUUGUCGAUUUGGAGAGUUACAACCAAUCGAUUUGGUAGUUUUGACUCCUUAGUUACUUAUUUAUGGGAAUGAAGUUGUUAUACCUGCCGAGGUUAAAAUAGUUUCCUUAAGUAUUAUUCAAGAAGACGGAUUAAGCAACGAAGAAUGGGUUUGUGCUCGCUAUGAACAACUCAUGCACAAACUCUCUGAAUCCUUCCAGUUGGUAGUUUAUAUAUAUAAAAGUAGGUGUAAAAUAGUAAUAUAAGAAAAAAUCGAAAUCAACUAAUAACUCGAUAAUUUUUCUUAUAAAAUCAUUAAAAAUCGUUAACCCAAUAAACUAAUAACAUUUUUAUCAGUUCAAUUUAUUGGUUGGUUCUAUUUUUGGACAUCCCUAGAGAAAAUACAUUGUUGGGUAGUCUAUGCACUUGGUGUAUUUUAGCAAGAUCCAAUUUUUAUUUGCUACGUGUUCUUGAGUACUUCUUGAGCUUGUGUAGCAAACUCGUCGAAACACCAAAGCAACUUGGUCUGCUAAUUAAGCCCCCUAGGCCCUAGUGAUUACCCCCCUAAAACUGAAUCUUAUGGAGUUGUUUGAUAAGUUUUUUACAUAAUUAAUAUUUUGUAAUAUAUUUUACUAUCAUGUAUAGUAUAAAUUUUAAUAUAUUACCACUUAUAACUUAUCUUUGGCUUUAAUAAUAGGAUUAUGCUUCACUUCUUUUUCACUCCAUCUCCUCAACCUUAUCUCUCCCUCUCUUCUAUCAUUUUAUCUUCUCCGGCGAACUAACGACGUCAGAGUGGUCUCUUUAUUUUUUAUUGCUUCGUCGAACACUAAUAGCUAGUCAUUUUCCCCUUUUUGUACAAUCAUCGUCAAAGCUCUGACUCUGACAGCCACCACAUACAUAUCGAAACCAUAAUGGAGCAAGCCAAAAUUGAUGAAUUUUGACAAAGUUGUUUGGUGAUGAAGGAGAAACGGAGUGGGUAGUGAAAUUAUUAGUUUCUCAGGUAAUGUGAGUUCGACGGAGAAGACAAGAGUUGUUAGGUGACUGAUUCGCUGGAUGGAGUUAAUUCUGAAGGUGAAUUUUGUUCAAACAAAUGAUGGUCGGGUGGUGUAAUAGAGUAGAUCUAUCUGGAGUUUGGUGGUGGUGAUGGAGCUCUGGCCAGAGUUUGAGGGUGGUAAUAGGAUUCUUGCAUAAAAAAUGGAAAAAUGGAGGUGAUGAUUUGCUAAUGAUGGUGGUGGAGCUCUGGCCUGAUUUUGUUGGUGGUGACGAAGCUUUGACUGGAGUUUAGUGGUGUUGAUGGGGUUCUUACUAAAAAAAUAAAAAAAUGGAGGCGAUGGAUCGUUGAUGGCGGUGGUACGGUGGAGCUUUGGCUGAAGUUUAGUGACUUGAAAAUGUUUAAGUCUAGUUACUUGAAAGGUGAACUUGUGUUUUGAAUUUAGUUAAGUGUGGUCACUUGAGAAGUGCAUUAGCAAUUUCAAAAUGUUUAAGUGUAGGUACGUGAAAUGUGAACUUGUAUUUUGAAUUUAGUUAAGUGUGGUCACUUGAGAAGUGAAUUAGUGACUUGAAAAUAUUUAAGUGUAGUAGCCUGAAAGGUGAACUUGUGUUUUGAAUUUAGUUAAGUGUGGUCACUUGAGAAGUGAAUUAGUGACUUGAAAAUAGUUUAGUGUAGUUACUUGAAAGUAGAACUACUGUUUUGAAUAUAGUUAAGAGUGGUCACUUGAAAAUGUGAAUUAGUGAUUUAAAAAUAGUUUAGUAUAGUCGUUUGAAAUGUGAACUUGUGUUUUGAAUAUAGUUAAGUGUGGUCACUUGAGAAGUGAAUUAGACUUUAAAAUGUUUAAGUGUAUGGACUUGAAUUAUGAAUUAGUGAUUUGUGUUUUGAAAUUAGGUACUUGAAAUGUGAACUUGUGUUUUGAAUUUAGUUAAGUGUGGUCACUUGAAAAUAUGAAUUAAUGAUUUGAAAAUGGCUUAGUGUAGUCGCUUGAAAUGUGAAUUCAUGACUUGAAAAUAGUUAAGUGUUGUCACUUGAGAAGUGAAUUAGUGACUUCAAAAUUUUGAAGUGUAGGUACUUGAAAUGUGAACUUGUGUUUUGAAUUUAGUUAAGUGUGGUCACUUGAGAAGUGAAUUAGUGACUUCAAAAUUUUGAAGUGUAGGUACUUGAAAUGUGAACUUGUGUUGAAUUUAGUUAAGUGUGGUCCCUUGAGAAGUGAAUUGGUGACUUGAAAAUGUUUAAGUGUAGUUAAUAGAAAGACGAACUUGUAUUUUGGAUUUAGUUAAGUGUGGUUACUUGAAAAUGAGAAUUAGUUAUUUGAAAAUGGUUUAGUGUAGUCACUUGAAAUAUGCAUUUGUGACAUGAACUAAUUACUUGAAUGUGAUUGAUUGUGUAGAUGGAACCUGAUUAUUAGAAAUAAUAACCAGAAAAAUCGACCAAAAGUGGUCAGUUUUUCAAAAUAUUUCCAGAAAAAACGUCCAUUUGUGCUCGGUAAUCUGGAAAUUCAUAGAAAAGCGACCACAUGUGGUCUUUUUUUUUAAAUUAUCGACCACAUGUGGUCGCUUUCUAGAUUUUUUUUUAAAAAAGACCACAUUCUGGAUUUUUUUAAAUAACUAAUUGUUUAAAUGUUUUUAAAUAAAAAAGUGACCACAUGUGGUUGCUUUUGUUUAAAUUAAUAAAUUAAAUAUAUAAAAAAGUGGUCGGUUUUCUUUAAAAACUAGAUAAAUAUGCCCGUGUGUUACAUGGGCCCAACACGUAUAGUAGAAUAUAUAAAAUGAAAAUGUAACAGUAAGGGACUAUCCCAUUAGAUUUGAUCAGUUGAUGAAAAAGAUCUCAAAUGUAUGUUUUAUACAAUCGUUGGAAUAACAUACUACGGGAUGCUCACUUUCACAUAUGAUAGUGAUUGUAUUCUAUUAACAUUGAUACAGAUAAUAUUUAUAAAUUCUACAAUAGGCGAUGCAUUUUUGUUGUUGUGAUCAAUCUCUGGGGCAUUUACGAUCAAACACUUGUUAAAUUAUAGGUAAAGAUUAAAUUAGUUAAGAAGAUCAAAAUGUGAUAAUAAAACAAAUCUUUAUUCAACAAAGACAAACAUAAUAGUUAUUAGAAUAAAAGUUCGAAUAACCUACUAUUAUGGUAUCAGAAUGAAAAUCUAUUUGUAAAUUGAAAGAAUUACAUUGUAGGUAGCAUUAGUAACACUGUACGUAUCUAUUUGUUUUUAAAAUUUUGGAUAAACAUUUACAUACCUAUUGGCAAAGUAGUUGCAUUGUUGUGAAAUACUGAUACAAUUGACACCCAUAGAUACUAACGAACUCAACUCCCAUAUGAUGAAACCAAAUGUAAAAGCUAUAAGCAACAACCUGAGAUAAUCAUCACAGAAAUAAAUUAAGAAUCAAUAGACAUUUCAUAUGUUGUUCCACCACAAGCACCACAAAUAGAAUUAGAUAACACACUACAACAACAAUAACAACAAUGACAAGUCAAUAGUAACAACAAAUUUGCCAAAGUAACUCUUGUAGUAGUAUCACUUUCUAGGUUAAUUCUUUUUUGUUUUUUGUUAUAUAAUGUUUUGUUUUUGUUGUUACUUACAUGACAUGGAUAAUACAGUAUUAAAGUGACAUGUACAAGGUCUAUACACAUUUCACAUGGAAAAGUUUCAGCCAGUUUUGCUUAGACUUACAUUAUGUUUUUGCUUCUUGUAAAUAGACAAAUAGUAUACUUAACAUAGAAGUGAUUUUUUUUUAAUUUCCCUCACUUUUCACAAGUAUUAUUGACUCUUGCUAAUUUUUCCUCUAGCAUUCUACGUGGCAAUUUAUGUACUACACUCUGAACUCGUACUGGAAUAAAAUACCCGCCAACACAAUGACGUACAUCCUAUUUAAGUUUAUAUGUUGUGGUACCCUUGAAUUAUGACAUUGGUUCUAAGUUUGGACAUGUUGUAGGUUUGGACAUGUUGUAGAAUAAGAUUGAAAAUAAGACAGUAAAAACCAGAAAACAUACACUACAUUAGAUAAUAUAUCAAAUCAAAUUUGUAUCCUUUCCUUUCUUCUAUUUUCAAGUGAGGAAGUUUCCCAUGAAAGAUUAGAAGACCUAUAAAUAUACAUGGUUUACAAUGAUUAUUAUUUCACAAUCUGUAGCCUUAUCUGUAUCUUUUUCCUACAAUUAACGACAUACAUCCAUAAAACUUGUUUGGAAUUACCCAAAGUCAAGUUAUUAAGAUAUAUCUUCUAGUCUAUCCUUGUUUUUAUUUUCUCAUUUUUUUUAGAGAAAACACCCACAAAAUAAUCAUUCAUGCACAAUAGCAGGUUAGUACAAACAUCAGAACUUUUGAGUCAUAAAUAAACAAUAUAAGCUCACUAAUUAGAAUCAACAAAAAAAUCACAGCUCAAGUUCUGUAUUUCAUUAUUUGUAAUUAAUAAGCAGUGACAAUCCCAAACAGUUGUGAUAAUUAGACAUGACAUCUUCUUAAUCGAAUCGGAGCAGACACAAAGCCUAACAAGUAGGAGAUUAACCAAAGCUGAUGCCAUACCAUGCAGCAUAAUAGAUUAUUGAGUUAUUAGCCCAAUAAUUUCAGAACACCAUGAAUUGAAGGCAUUUGGAGUCAAAACACAUGCUUACCUCACGGAAUGUCAUUAGCCUGGGCUUAUCUCCAACUUAUGGUAUUUGAUUAUAAAUAAUGUGUGCAACAGGCAAUUUAGCAUUGGCACCAUCUCGUGAUAAUAUACAGCUUCGGUUAAUAACUCUACCCAUCCAUGCACUUCCAGAUUUCUCAUAUGUAUGGGAGUAUGGAUCAAAAUAAAAGUAGGCAAUUGGAGUUCGAGAGGAAUCAUUCAUGUAGUACAAACAUACAUCAUGGUUCCAAACGUAGAAAUCACGCACAUCAAUGAACAAUAUUAUUUGGCACUGCAUAUGGGAGCAUGAACAAAGGUAAAAGAAAAGGCAAGUGAACUAAGUCUUACCGGAGCUAAUCCAUCAGCAGGCUCAACAUUGAUACCAAACAACAUGUUUACAAGAUUAAAAAAAACAUCCAUAACUCUAGGCAACGAAAAGUAGGGUCAUACUUCUUCUGCAACUAAGCAACAUGCGAACUCAGAGCUGCACACAAGCGUCCAAAGGAAGUUAUAUAGUAUGUAACAUUUACUAAAUGCUAGAGGUAGUGAUCUAUUAACAAAGAAGGGGCUUAUUUUAAAACUUUACUUACUAACUGGUGAAAUGAAAAAGAGAAUGGGACUUGUGUUGAUAUUACUAAUGUAGGUACUAAAAAAAUUGUUGCUAAGAUAAACAAUGUUAUACGUAUGCAUUGAAAUACAACAUAUUGAAACUAAAUUAUAUAUUCUACUUAGCAAGAUAUUAAUGGUCUAAAACUAUCAGGAUAGGUAUAUUCCUUGCCAUUUUUUCAACUCAAAUUAUUAUAAAAUUUGGUUUAAGAAAGGAUGGUCGGGAAGCAUAAGGCUUUGAUUAUACUUGUCGACUGUGAAUAAAUAGACAUCACAAGAAAGAUAUAUGAAAACAUGUAUGGAUAAAAAUAAUCACAUCUCGACAUCCACACGCACAUCGUUUAUUAUUUUCAAUCAACACUAUCAAGUAUCUGAUAUUGGUUGACAAAGAGGGUUGUCUACUUUUAUGUCCUGGGAAAGUCCUUGCCUCUUAAGCUAGAUUUUGGUUUAAGUUAUACCCAAGGUUCAUUUUUGAUUGAACAAAAAAAGGAGGAAGAAAUACAGAGAGACGACCCAACUUCUUUAUGAAUGAUACCAUAUAUGUUUGCACAAGCUCAUUUACGAAAAGAAUUAGGAGAUAUCUUUCUUUACCAACUAAAUAUUGACACUGAGCAGCCUUUGAUGGAUACUGUACAAUACAUCCCCAAUAAAUAUUCUGAUACUCUUCUAAAAUACAGGUAUUGAAUUUAUUACACAAAUCUGAGCAUACUAUCUUAAAUAAUUCUAUAAAUUUUCACUAACCUCCAAGAUACUUGCUCUUCGCAAUAGAUAAUUUCUGAGCAUCAGCAGACCUGGAAGUUUAAAAUAAGAAAUUUACAACAAAAUUCUCAUUUGUCACCAACAAUUACCAAAAAUCUAGGACAAGAUAAAACAAAAAAAAUGGCAAUGUCUUACAGAAUAUCAACAUUGCCGGGAGGAGGGACAGCAUGGAAAACGUCCAAUUCAGUCAGUUCAUAAUCUGGAUUUUGAUCUUCUCUUCUUUCUUUAGCUCUGUCUCUGUACUUAGGCAGCUCCGCUUCUUCGGCCUUCUCUUCUCUAUAACAAACAAUUACGGAGCUAUUAAAUUUCAAUUCAGAUUCACUAAAAAUCGAAAGCAAGGACAGGAGAAAAAAACCUUACUUGUUGCGACGAACUAUCUUUUCCUUGUGAUUUCGUUUGGAGGAAGACAUAGAAUAAUUAUUCCUUAAAAAUAGGAUUGUUCCUUGAAGGAGAAGGAAAAAGAUAGAGAAGAGAGGUACAGUGCUGCGGUUCAUCUAGAAAUGUUUUUGCUGUGGUGAGGAUAGGAAAUAUCAUCCACAUAUAAUGACCAUUUUGGCCUCAAUAAUGUACUUAUGUACCAUUCUGCCUUUGGUCGUCCUUAGCACUGCCUCUUCUAUAUAGUAAAAAUUUAUUUUAUUAAAUUUAUAUAAGCGACCGCUAGUGGUUGCUUUUUUGAAUUAAAAAAUUGAUAAUAUUUUUUUUAAUAAUCAAUACUGAAUUAUAAAUAUAUAUAUAUAUAUAUAUAUUUUAAAAGAAAAGCAACUACUGUUUUUGAGAUCACACCUUGUAGUUACUUUUUUGGUCGCAAAAACAGAAAAAGCAACCACAUGUGGUCGCUUUUUGUGGUCACUUUUCCUAUUUUUUUCUAGUAGUGGGUGGAGCUUUGGCUGAAGUUUAGUGGUGCUGACCAAAAAAAGGUGGUGUACGGUGGUGGCUGCACUGUGAUUUGUAUUAAAAUUAUAUUAAAUAAAAGUGAUCUAUGUAAUACAAUUUGAAUUCAAUAUUAUAAUUUUUUAUUAAUUCGAAAGUUGUUAUUUAUAACAAAUAUAAUAUAUUUUAACGACGUAAAACUAAUUUAAAUUGUAAUGGAAUGUUUUAAAUUCACGUCAAAUAUUUGUAAUACACUUUAUUAAAAGAAUUUCAGUUAUAUAUAUUCACCACAUAUAUUGAAAUAAUAUGGAUAAUGAAUUCAAAAUGUAUUAAAUUUGUUGCUUAUUUUUGUCUCAUUAUCGAAAUUCAAAGCAUAUUAUAAUCAAAUUUGAAAUAUUUAAAUGCUAUUCAAGUUAGUUUAUGUAUUAUUGCAUUAAAAAUUUAAUUUAAAAAGUAUUAUAUAGCUAUUUUUAUUAAAAAAGUUGUGUUAUCCACUCUAAGAAUAAAAAUUUACUGUAAUUGAUAAAAAAAAAGGCUACAUAUUUAUAUUAUUUAUGUAAAAACCCCUUGUUUGAUACAUCGAAGGAGUAAGUAGAGAUAUUUUAUUGGACUAUUUUACCUCACGUUUUACAUAGCUAGCAUAGUAGCUUCAUCAUUUUAUUACAACUGAUGAAGUUAAAUAGUUCUGAAAUUCGUUAAUACCUCACACCAAGUAUCGGAUAAAGUUAAUUCUAAAUUUUAUUCUAAGAUUAUUUUUCUUGUCCAUAUACGAAAUGAUCCAUGCGCACCGAAAUCUAUGGUUAAGAACUAAAACAAAUCUUAGUAAUUGAAAUAUUUAACUGCAUCAAGUGUUUAGAAUGACUAAAUACGAUUUAAUUAUUAUAAUUGAGUUAAUAAAGUAAAAAUUAUAUAUUAAUCACUAUUUUAAAAGAUGUUUUUUUGGGCAAGUCAGUGUGGGGCGUAGAAAAAAUGUAUCAAGGUGAUACGUGGGACGAGACUGUAGGGGUGUUCAUGGUUCGAUUUUAGAUUGAUUUUUUAUUAGAACCAAAGUCAAAUAAAUUUACUCAUUUUUAAAGAGUUAUUUGUUGUUGGUUUGAUUCGAUUUUUCAGUUUAUAACUAGCGAAUGAUAAAUUGAUAAUAGUAAAAUAACUAACACACGGGACAACUAUUUCAAAUAAUUGUUAUGAAUCAAUAAGUUUCUUUCUAUUAUCACAAGAUGAAUGUUACUGAAUCAUCUAUUUUUUUUAGUAUUAUUUUAAAAUUUUAGCAUGUCUAUGUUGCAUAACAGUAAAGACAAUGUACAUAAAUAAUAUACAACUUUAAGAAGGCGUUUGGACAUACGAUUUCAUGCUUGUGAUAUGAAAUCAUGAGAUUAAAUUACCAUUUGGUGAUGCGAUUUCAUCUCAUGAUUUCAUAUCAUGACAUAAAAUCUCAAAUUCUUCAAAAAAUAUGAUUUGAGAUUUUCUAAACACAAAAAUUAACUCAAGUUCAUAUUUUGUAGAAAGAACCCCAUCAUUUAUAUUUGCCUACCAUUUAUAUCAUAUAUAUGCAAAUAAAAUUUAUAGGUCAUAUUUUACCAAUCUUUAAAAUAUUUUUAUCUCAUUUAACAAUUACUCUCACCAACAUAUACCCCAUUUAGUUUUGAGAAAUAUUCAACUUUUUUUUUUUUUUGAAAAAUCUUUUCAUUUUUUUUUAGAAAAUGAUGUUUGGCCAUAAAGGCUACAAAUACAACUUGAAGUUCUUUUUGAAAAAAUGAAAAUAAGUCUUAACAUGUCUUCACUUUUUUCUAAUUUCAACUUCACCUUUAUAGUUAAAAAAAAUCUCUCCAAAAAGAUAUAGCCAAACACAAUUCUGACUCCGACUUCAAUUUUAUUUUUUAUAAUUUACAUGUCCAAAAGCCUAUAAAAUGUAUUAUUACUUCAAAUCAACUCCUAUUUUAUCAUUUAUUAUUCACCAAGUUUAUCAUUUGAUCAAUAAAUCUUGAUUUUUUUUAGAAUGUUUGUUAUAAACAUUUGCUUAUUUGGUAAGAUUGUGUAAAGAAUUUAGGCAAUUUUGAUAGUUUUCACAACUUAUGAUUUUUUUUUUUAUUUAUAAGAAAAAAAUACAACUUAAAAUCCUAAAUUGCAUGUCAAAACAAAAUUUCAACUUCAUCUCAUAUGAUUUCAAAUCAUGAAUUUCAUCUCACGUGGUCAAACGGGCCCUAAAUAUGAUGGUCAACCCUGCAGAAGCAUCAAAGGGGCUCAAGCCUUUGAAGAGUAUAUGAAAGUCUUGACAAAGAAAAAUAAAAAUUGGUCAUACACCUCAUCAAUUUACACAAUUAAACUUAAGAGUAUUUAUUUGGGUAUAUUUUGAAAAAUACGAUUAAAUCUUAUGCCUUGUCAGGAAAAUAGGAAGAACGUGAAUGAGGAUCCAUAAUAAUUCUAUUUCAGAAAACAUGAAAAAAAUUGUCUAACUUGCAGAAUGAUCCAUAACCUAUGACGACAAGUAUAGUUUUGGGAUCUGUGUUGUUUGAACCUAUACCUUUCUCGAUGUUAAAUAGUCCCCUCAAAACAUAUAUAUGCUCAUAUUGUACUCUGCAAAUAAGCUGAAAAUCAUGUCAUUGAGCUAUUGGCUCAAAUUUAUAUUACUCUAUGCUAGAGAGUUCUUACGCUCAAAUUCAUAUAAGGCAUAUACAUGAGUCCUUUCGCUCUAUUUCAAUGAAAAUACCGAGUUUAGGUAUUUUCUUUUAACUAAAGACAUAUUACUUUCACAUGCCGAAAUUCAUUAAGUGAACUUGUAAUUCUUCACAUAAUUUCAUAAAAUAUGAGAUUUCGUAAACAUGAGGGUUCAUACACAUUAGGAAAAUUUCAAAAUCAUGAGAUAACUUUUGCAAAACCUAAGAUGGCUUUCAGGCUUUUGAAACAGAUUCUAUAAAAAACAAGAUAUACAAUCAAAGGACGAAUCCGAAUUAUGAUAUUUCUAAGAUUUCAUGAAGGAUUCAAAGAGUAUCAUCAAUAGAUAAAGAAACUAGAUUCUAGGAUUCAAUUUAAAAAUCUUAACUUUAAUUUCUUUACUAAACCAAAAUUGAGACAGACUUAUGGAGAAUAACAGAAUUUCCAAACUAAAGGUUAGUCUUAUAUACCUUGAAAAAGAACUUGAGGAUUCUCUUGCUAGAACCUUUGAAACCUUUAAGUGAGUCUGGAAAGAGAAGAGAGGAGUAAUAUAGUCAUUUGAUAUAUUCUAAUUGUUUUCUACAAAUAAGGAAGGUUAAAAGUUGUAUGUUGGGAUUUUAAAUUAUAAGUAGGACAAAAAUGUCCUUAUUAUAUGAAAUGGGAAAAUACCAAUUUGAAAAUAUCGGUGUGCACCACACAAUCCAAAGCAUUGUCUGGGUUGUACACCACGACGUCCUAGCGUGCUAGGGGAGUUUGAUAUGGCCCUCAACGCGAAGGAUGAGUUAAUUUCAGGUCCUUUGGAGUUUAAAAAGAGGUUGAGCCUUUAGUGCGGGGACUUCCUGAUGCGAUGCUCUAACUAUUUCACGUACUUAGGACUUUCGUUUAAAUCUCUGAACUCAUUCUAAAUGAUUUCUAACUGAUUUAAAGGUCGUACAUCUUGAUUUUCAAACUAAAAAAUAACAUAAGAAACUACACAAACAUGAUAAGAAUUUGUAGGGUAUUACGCUCCAUUUGAUGGGGAUGUUGUCGAAACUUCUAACGGAUUCUCUGUUGGAGAGCUAAUGUUAGAGGAAUAAUGAUAAAGAGAAACAAAAUAAUUAAAAAUAAAUAUUUGUCUAAGUCCGUUUGGGUGUUUUAAAGGAAUAUAUCAAGUAUGUGAACGAUCGAGUUUAUUCUUUGGAUCUUCUCAGAUGGGCCAAUAUAUUUACAUCGGGUCUUUUGAGACAAUGAAUCACAAACAUUUGCAUUUGUUGGCUUGAACAAACACUACUAAAUUGAAGAUAAAAUUUUCUAGAAGAUAUACAACUGUAGAUUCAUUGUAGCUGUAAUUUUAAGUUUGUUGAAAUUUUUUGACAUUUUACGUAUCAACAAUUGUAAAUGUAUGGGCAUUACAUUCUAUAGAUGUAUAUAUUAGGGGCGUCAUAUUUUAUAGAUGUAUGUAUACGAGCGUCACAUUCUAUAAAAUGAGGAUUGAAGGAGAAUGAAAUUCAUAUACUUUUCUUUCUAGAGUAUUUUCUUGCUAUUUUUUCAGAUAGCUUAUCUCCGGAAAGGAGUCCGAUUGGCUGCCUAAUUAUAGAACAACUUUACUCAGAUCAAUAGUAAAUUGCCCCUACUCAUACAGAGGAUCGCCCUUCUCAAUUUCCCCUAAUCGCCACAGACAUUUCUCCAAUUUUAACCCAUCCUUUUACAAGAUGCGAUUUUUUCACAUAUGGUAAUGUUACAUAAUCUUUUGACUAGUUAAACAACACUAUUAGCCAUUUUAUGUAUUAACAGCUAUAUAUAUAGAAGUGUUACAUUCUAUAAAAUGAAGAUCAAAGAAUAAUGAAAUUCAUAUACAUUCCUUUCUAGAGUACUUUCUUUUUAUUUAUUUCUUUCAGACUUUAGUCAAAUCAACAAUAAAUCACCUCAACUCACACCGAAUACCAUCCUUUCCAAUUUUCCUCAAUGAAGCAUCUCUCCAAUUUUGACUCAUCCUAUUUACUACAAACAUGAUUUUUUUCACUUAACGUAACGUUACAUAAAUAUUUCGAAUAUCCAAACAAUACUAUUAGACAUCUUUUUAUAAUUCAUGAAAAUGAAAAGUAUGAAGAAAAAAAUAAGUAUAAAUAACAUAAAUACCAACCAUUUUGGAAGUAAUUAUACUUUUUCUAUUUUUUAAAAUUACUUUAUUCUCUCUCUCUAUUAUUAAUAUACAUAACAUAGCCGACAUAUACAUAAUAUUCUGUAUAUAUAUUGAAAUUUUUGUAAUACUUUUAGGAAAUUGAAAUUUUUUGUAAUAUUGAAAAUAUAAUUUGUCUAUUUGUGUAAUUUAAAAAAAAAAUAAAUUGUUGGAGUUGGGCCAGAGCUCUUAGCCGCCAGGCGUAAUAGUCCUAUGGUCCUGUCUAUAUUCGUCUUCGUGGGUUCAAUUUUUUCCUCUUACUUCCCAAGUUUCUGGGCAAAACCCCUCCCCCCCACUCCACAAACCAAAAAUUAGUAAAAGCAACAAAAUCAAAUCCCAACUCUUCAUUUUCCUUCUCUUUCUCUCUUUACACUUUCUCUCUCUUCCUUCAUCAAUGGUGUACCUGAAAAACUCCACUGUUCUUCAGCCGCCACUUCUAUUUCUUCCAACAAACGUAGCUUAAAGCCUUAUACCAAUUUUUGUAAGUAUUUUUUUUUUCCGCGAAAGCGUUUCUACUAUUUAUCUGCGUCGAGUUUUUGAACUUCCGUUAUUUCUGCUGCGUAUAAUAUACGUAACUUAUACUGUUUUAUUUAUUUAUUUGUAUUUUUGUUUUUCAAUAUUUUUGUUGUGGUAUUCUGUAUAUUAUGAGUUUGUUAAAUUAAUUCGAAUUUUCUGCGAUUUAGUUUUGAUUUUUGUUUGUGAGUUUAAGUGGUGGAAAUGAGAAUUGGAUACUGUAAAUUAGGUACUUUGUUUAAUUUGAAUGAUCAUUAUAGGUUAAAGUUGGAGUUAAGUGUAGGUCAAAGCGAAAAAAUGAAUUCGAGUUUAAGUUUUCGCUUUAAUUUGAGUUUUAGAUACUUGUCUCCAUUUUUUCUGGUGUUUUUUUUGUCCCUUUUUAUUGAUUUUCUGUGUGUGUUUGUUUUGGUUUUGUAGGAGAAAGGAGCUGUAAGCUCAUAGCUAAGUAAGGAAAUAGUGAAUGGAUUAGUGUUUUUUGUGUUGCGAGAAUUGGAUUUUUCUGUCUUGGUUUUGAGUGGAGACUGUUGAUGCUGUUUUGGGAUUAAAGCGAGUGAGGAUUGAUUGAUUGGUGUUGGAGUACUAUUGUUGCGAAUGGCAGAAGACGGCCUACGUAUUGGUGGCCUUUCUUCUGGGUUGGCCGUGGUAUUGGAUGGUGAUGAUAGGAGGGAGAGUUAUCAGAGAACUCGUCUUGUUUCAUAUUGUGAUGAUUUUGGAGAUCAAUCUGUGGAAAGGACACUCGAGCACAUCUUUGAUCUUCCAUACAAGUCUAUUAAGCCGCUCUCUUGUUCAAUAGAUGCUAAAGUGGUUCGCUCGGUCAUAAACAAUGAAUUUCUGAAGUACCAUAUAAAUCGGAAGGCUGGUACAGACAGAAAAAGAGAAGGGGUUUUUAUUGCUGGUGAUUGUUGUAAACAUCAGGCUAUUAGAAUAGAGGAAUCGAGCAUUUGUGGUGACAUUAGGAUAGUCAAACCACCUUUUAUCGUGGAGAGUCAUUCUCUAUUCAGCAGUGCAAGGGCCAAUGCUUGUGUGUGGAAAGGGAAAUGGAUGUAUGAAGUAACUCUUGAAACUUCUGGUAUACAACAGCUAGGUUGGGCACCUCUUUCCUGUCCAUUUACGGAUCAUAAGGGUGUGGGUGAUGCUGAUGAUUCAUAUGCAUAUGAUGGAAAGAGGGUCAGUAAAUGGAAUAAGGAAGCUCAGGAUUAUGGUCAGCCAUGGGUUGUUGGUGAUGUGAUUGGAUGCUGUAUUGAUUUGGAUGGUGAUGAGAUAUUAUUUUAUCGAAAUGGAGUUUCGCUUGGUCUAGCAUUUAUAGGUAUUCGUAAGAUGGUUCCUGGAUUGGGGUAUUAUCCAGCAAUUUCUCUCUCUCAAGGUGAAUGUUGUGAGUUAAACUUUGGGGAAAUCCCUUUCAGGUACCCAGUAAAAGGUUUCCUUCCUAUUCAGCCUCCACCACCCAGAAGUUCAAUUGCUACUGAUUUGCUUAAUUGUUUUAGAAGGCUAAUUGAAAUGCAGCGUGUGGGAAGGGCAGAGUUCAGUUCUGUUGAGAAAUUGCGAAGAUUGAAAAGGUUUGUGUCAUUUGAAAAGCUUUCACACCCCGUCUCUCGUGGGAUAUGUGAGGAGUUGUUCUCUACACUUGUUGCUGAAGACGGAAGCACAAAGUACAUAGGUUGUGGUCCACUUCUAUCACUGAUAAUGGAGGUCUUUAGAAUCCAUCCUCCUCAUGAUUAUAUGAGUUUGGACAACAUACUCGAUUCUUUCCUAGAAUUCCCAGAGUCGAGAAUUUUGUUUGAACAUAUCAUAAGUUCACUCUCGACCUUUUGUAAAACAGCACCAUUGAGCCUUUCAGAUGUUCCUUACACAGGUUCAUAUGCAUAUCUGGCCUUGGCAUGCCACAUCUUAAGGCGGGAAGAAGUGAUGACACUGUGGUGGAAAUCUUCAGAUUUUGACCUUUUGUUUGAAGGGUUUUUGUCACGGAAGAGUCCUAACAAGCAGGAUCUUCAAGGUCUGUUGCCUUCUGUUUGGUGGCCUGGUUCGUGUGAGGAUACGUCAAAUGAGGCUAGCCUGUUCCUGACUACAGCUGCUUUGUCAGAAGCAAUAGACAAGGUAUUCUUUUUGUUGAUGGAAUGGAACUUAUAUUGGUAUCUUAUGUGCUUCUUUGUCCCCUCAUACAAUGUUGGUCCAUGUUCGUGAUUGUUCUUGGUCUGAUAUUGCUAUUUUAUACUUGAAUAAGAUGGUGCAUUUGAUGAUGUUCCUUGAAAGUCCUGGUACUAGUUAGACGGACUCAGUUGUUCUAUGUGCUUAAAGUAUACCUGACUGGGUAUUUUGGUUGAAAUGGAAGCUCAAGUCUUUUAAUAAGGUAGUCAGUCAUGUAAUGAGCAGUGGAUGCUUGGUUUCUUUUUCCUAUUUCAACAAUAUCUUUGAACUGCUUGCAAAGGAGACAUAGCAUCAUAGGUUUUUUAUAUAGUAAUAUUGGAUAUUUUCUCACUUGAUCAAGUUUAAUAGGAAAGUUCAUCCAUCUUAGCAAUGUGAAAAUUAAUGCAAUUCCCGCAGCCUGAUUUGCCUAGAGCUUUGACUUGAGUUUCUCUUACAUGAGCCAUUUUUACGCUGAGCUGCACCUGUCAAAAUAAAGAGAGAGUUUUGGCUGUAUUGCACAGGAAAUUGUAAUAUUGAAUCUUCAUCAAUAAUGCCGACUUUGGACAUCACAUGAAAAAUAUUAUAAUGCACAUAUAAACGGACAACAAAUCUAACCCUUUGAAGUUCUGGCAAUUCUUAUGUUGCUUGGUCUUAAGAUGCAUGAUAUGCUGUUUAUGCCCUUUGUGCAGCCACAUGUGCUUGUUUGAGAUGUUAAAGUAUAGUACUGUUCAUCGCUAUGAAUUGUAUCAUCAAGAUGACGUGUAUCUCUUUCACUUUCUUUGGUUGCUGGUGAGAAGGGGAGGUGGUUCAUUGCAAUAGCAAAAGGUGGCGUUUUAGAUUAGAAACAUCAGCUCAGUUCUUUUAGAAGUUUUUCGUGUUAGUUGUUUUAGUUUUACUGUGUAUCUUUCCAAUAGGAAUGUGCAAGUAUACAAUAUUGCAUCACCUAGUCGCAUGAUUUGGGUGGCUGAAGUCUUGCCUUAUUCAAAAUUCUAUAGUUGCUUGGCUGCUCUUGUCAAAUCUAAUAGUUGGACGGUGGUAUUGUGGAUUUUACUGCAUCAUAUCGAUCUUCUCUUCGCCCAGCUUUUCAGUUUAACUGGCCUUUGCUAUUGCCUUGAUCUCCAGUAAUGUGUGCAUCUAUCAGCUUUUUCUGUUGAUGUUUCACUUAAGAAUCAUUACAUUUGAUUUUUGUGAUCUAUCACACAUACGCAUCCCUUCUACUAGAAAGUCUAAAAGGGCUUGCUAUUUCAUUAUAUGUUUCUCCAUCCACAAGAAGAUUUACAUAUUUCUUCUUCAGGUUGAAGAGAAGCAGAGAGACCUUUGCCGUUUGGUAAUGCAGUUCGUGCCACCCACGUCACCACCGCAGCUACCUGGCUCUGUAUUCAGGACAUUCUUACAAAAUAUUCUACUUAAAAACAGGGGUGCAGAUCGAAAUUUGCCACCACCUGGUGUUUCUAGCAAUUCUGUACUUGUUUCUUUGUUUGGUAUCAUACUCCAUUUCCUGUCUGAGGGGUUUGGGGACAUUUGUGGUUGGAUGAAGGAUUCUGGAGUAUCUGAUGUUGGUUUUCUACAUAGAGGAGGCCAGCAAGCUUUUCCUGUAGGCUUGUUUCUCAAGAAUGAUCCUCAUCGAGUUGUUAUUCCAAGGCUUGGUGGUUCAUAUAAUCACCUAGCAAAGUCCCAUCCUAUUAGCAAUGAGCAGCAUGAUGAAGUGAUUCGGUGGGAAGAAGGAUGUAUGGACGAUGAAGAAGAUAGAGUUACACAUCUAAGUAAGCAGAAGCCGUGCUGUUGUUCUACUUAUGACGAUGAUUUUACAAGAAUAUCUAAAGAUUCUAUCAGACGCAUGGCAAAAGGUUCAAGGGGACAUUUCAGCUCUAUUCGUGAGAGGUCUGCUCAUGUUGCUGCAGAAUGCAGCACCAGUAGUUUGAAUGAUGACAUAGCAGAUAAACCGAGCACAAGUGACCAGUCCGAAUCAGAGUUUGGCUUCCGUUCUAUGCAUCAAAUGAGAUAUGUUCCCAGAGAGCACAAUGUUUCUUCAGCAACUCUAAAAGAAGAGGAGCUACUGGAUGCCAUGCUUUUGCUGUAUCAUUUAGGUCUUGCACCCAAUUUUAAGCAGGUGACUAGCUUUUCCCUUACUAAAGAUAGUUAUUAAACUUCCUUUUUGUUUGAAAAAUAUCCGAAGUGGUAUAAAUGAGGUAACAUGACCUUAGAUGAAGGGAUUUACAGAGGACAUGGCCUUAGGAAGAUAUGAAGGUUGCAGAUUAGGGUAGAGGGUUAGUAGGUAGUGGAGCAGUGUCUCGCUUUCCUUUUCCUGCAGUAUAGUCUUCGUGGUAGUUUGACCAACUAUACCUGUUCGUUUUAUAGCGAUAGUAUCAACAACUUCCCUAUAGUUUCUUGUCCCUCAUUUUAUGUUACUACCUGUUGUUUCUCAUUGAUUCGGUUUUCACAUUUUUUUUCUACUGCUGCUGUUCCUUUUCCCUGAACGUCAUGUAAUGUUUUCUCUAUUAUUUGCUAUGUCUUUGUUACUUAUGUAUGUUCCUUUUCAUACUGCCCUGUUAUGCGAUACUUGAACCGAGGGUCUGUCGGAAACAACCUCUCUACCACCACGAGGUAGGUGUAAGGUCUGUGACACUCUACUCUCCCUUGACCCCACGUCCCCACCUCCGGGAUUUCACUGGGUAUGUUGUUGUGGAGCUAAAGUUUUGAAAGCAACCCCUUGCUCGACCUUUGGCCUUGCAAAAUUAUGUUCUGUCUAUAUUUGUAAUGAUGACAUAUUUUUAAUUUUCCUGCUAGUUUGAAAUUAAUACGACAACAACAACAAACCCAGUGUAUUCCCACAUAGUGGGGUCUGGGGAGGGUAAGAUGUACGCAGUCCAUACCACUACCUCCGUUGAAGUAGAAAGGCUGUUUCCGAUAGACCCCCGGCUCAAGACAAGAAAUAAUAAUCAGAUCCGUAAUAAAGCAUGGAAUAGGCUGACAUGACAUAGAUACGACGUCCACAAGGAAUAGUACACAAAGACUAGCAAACAAGUUCGUAAUAAAGCAUGAAACAAGGUAACAUAACAAGAAAAGUACACCCACCAAGUAAUAAUAUCCUACCCUGACGACCCAAACUGGCACUAGCUUUAUAUCCUAAUUCUCGUCCUCCAGAUCUUCCUAACUAGGGUCAUGUCCUCCGUAAAUAGUAACUGCUCCAUGUCCCGCCUAAUCACCUCUCUCCAGUAUUUCUUUGGCUUACCCCUACCCUGCUAAAACCAUCCAAAGCCAGCCUCUCACACCUACGAACCGGGGCAUCCGUGCCCCUCCUCAUCACGGGUUCGAACCAUCUCAGUCGGACUUCCCGCAUCUUGUCCUCCAUCGAAGCCACUCCAACCUCUCGAAUAAACUUAUUCCGAACUCUUAUCACUCCUAGUAAGCCCACACAUCCAACGCAACAUCUGCAUUUCCGCCACCUUCAAUUUUUGAACGUGGGUGUUCUUGACUGGCCAACACUCCUCUCCAUACAACAUGGCCGGACAGACUGCCACCCUGUAGCAUUUGCCUUUAAGUUUAAGUGGCACCUUCUUAUCACAAAACACCCCCGAGGCGAGCUUCCACUUUAUCCAUCCCGCCUCAAUACGGUGGGAGACAUCCUCGUCAAUCUCACCAUUCACCUGAAUCAUGGACUCGAGAUACUUGAAAUUAUCCCUCUUACACACCACCUGGAGUCCAACCUUACUACCACCUCGUUCUCCUGGCUCGAGUCAUUAAACUUGCACUCCAAAUAUUUUGUCUUACUCCUACUCAACCUGAAUCCUUUAGACUCAAGGGUCUGUCUCCACACCUCUAAUUUAUCAUUCACACCCCCUCGCGUCUCAUCAAUCAAAACUACAUCAUCUGCGAAAAGCAUACACCAAGGCACCUCCUUGAAUACGCCGCGUCAACACAUCCAUCAUCAAAGCAAACAAAAACGGACUAAGAGUAGAUCCCUGAUGCAACCCGUUUAUCGACGGGGAAAUGCUCUGAAUCUCCUCCCGCCGUCCUCAUCUGGGUCUUAGCUCCAUCAUACAUGUCCUUGAUUGCUCUGGUAUACGCCACCGGGAUCCCACUCACCUCCAAGCAUCUCCAAAGAACCUCCCUAGGGACUUUGUCGUACACCUUCUCCAAGUCGAUAAACACCAUGUGCAGAUCCUUCUUUUUUUCCUUGUACUGUUCCACCAGUCUCCGCACCAGGUGAAUAGCCUCCGUCGUCGAGCGCCUGGGCAUAAAUCUAAACUGGUUCUCCGAAAUAGACACUAUCCUCCUCAACCUCAACUCAAACCACUCUCUCCUAAAUCUUCAUAGUGUGACUCAAUAACUUAACACCCCUAUAGUUGUUGCAGCUCUGAAUGUCACCUUUGUUUUUAUAAAGAGGGAUCAUAGUACUCCAUCUCUAAGCCUUGGGCAAUUUCGCCGUCUUGAAAAUGUCGUUAAACAAUUCAGUCAACCACCUUAGACCAGCGUCGCCAGAAAGCUUCCAAAAAUCCACAGGAAUCUCAUCAGGCCCUGUUGCCCUACCCCUUCACAUCCUGCGAACCUCCUCUCUGACGCCCCUCCACCUUAAAACGUCUACAAUAACUAAAAUCACGACACUCCUCUGAAUGCUCCAGCUCCCCUAACUUAAUACUCUAUCCCCUUCAUCGUUCAAAAGCCUAUGAAAAUAUGACUGGCAUCUUUUCUUAAUGUGACUGUCCUUCACCAACACUCUACCAUCCUCCCCCUUAAUGCACUUCACCUGGUCGAGGUCACGACCCUUUCUCUCCCUAGACUUAGCAAGCCUAAACAACCUUUUUCUCCUCCUUUCUCCUUUAACCCCGCAUACAAGCUCUUAAACGCUGCCAUCUUAGCAGCCGUAACAACUAACUUAGCCUCCUUCCCAGCUAACUUGUACUCCUCCCUAUUAACCCGGUUUUCCUCUUCAUCCUUACUCUCAACCAACUUAGCAUACGCCCCUUUUUUAGUCUCCACUUUCUUCUUAACUUCUUCAUUCCACCACCAAUCCCCCCGACGAUGACCGGCCCGGCCCCUAGAAACACCCAACACCUCCCUAGCAGUCUCCUUGAUGCGCCUAGACACCUUAUCCCACGUACCAUCCACGUCCCCCCAUACUCCCACCCCUCAUACCUGCUACCUUCUCCCCUAUCUCCUGCGCAUUCACCGGUGUCAAGUCGCCCCACUUAAUUCUAGGUCGACCUUCUCACCUUUUUUUUUUUUUUCCUACUUCAUACCCAAGUCCAUCACCAAGAGCCUAUGCUGGGUUGAAAGGUUCUUACUCGGAAUGACCUUACAGUCCUUACACAACACCUUAUCCCCUUUCCUAAGCAGAAAAAAGUCAAUUUGGGUCUUGGCUAUCGCGCUUUAAAAGGUGAUCGUCCUUCUUCGGAAAGCUUGAAUUCACCACCACCAGCCCAAAGGACCUCGCAAAAUCCAACAGAGCGACUCCCUCUUCAUUUCUAUCCCCAAAACCAAAACCACCAUGCUCAUCGCCAAAGCCUCCCGGUAACGCCCCGAUGUGCCCAUUGAAAUCCCCUGCUACCACAAUCUUCUCCGAGCUAGGCAUGUCUCUCACCAGCUUAUCCAAAGCCUCCCAAAAUCGCAUCUUCUCUUCCCCAUUCAAGCCCACCUGCGGAGCAUAAACACUACACACGUUCAUGGUACACCUCCCAAUGACUAACUUAAUAGUCAUCAACCUAUCGCUGAUCCUCUUAACCUCCACUACAUGCUCUCUAAACUCUUCAUCGACUAAGAUGCCAACUCCAUUCCUACGCCUAUCGCUUCCAGAGUACCAAAGCUUGUAACCAUCCACAUCCCUAUCCGUAGACCCUACUCACUUAGUCUCCAGGACACACGCAAUAUUAAUCCUCCUCUUUCUAAGAAUCUUCACAAGCUCUAUGGACUUACCCUGGAGAGUCCCUAUAUUCAAAGACCCAACCCUCAGCCUGUCAACUCUAGCAACACGUCUUCCUCUACCGCCCCUAACGCCAGACCUUGCCCCUACUCCCACACUAGCCCUUCCCUCCUCCUGCACCCUCAAAACAGCCCCCCGCCCCAACCCCCUCAGACAUGACCCUAUCCUACCAUCAAUGCCCACAGCCACUACUCCAAGUAAAAAACCGCGAAAGAAAAAAAAACAAACAACGAAAGUAACAAAGCAACGACAGGAAAUACAAGGUACGUGUAAAGUAGAUGGAAUAAUCUAGAAAAAAGUCAAUCCCAAAAAUUAAAAACAAGUCAAGAGAUGAAAUAAUCAAGAAAAAGUAGAUGGCAAAGGUUAGAAGUCACCGGAUUAGCUAACUGAUGCAGAAAAUUUUACCGGAA